CCGAGUUAUUCAACUCAUCAACCCUGUGAACAUACCUAAACGUUGCUUCGGCGGGAACAGACGGCCCCGUGAAACGGGCCGCCCCCGCCAGAGGACCCCUAACUCUGUUUCUAUAAUGUUUCUUCUGAGUAAAACAAGCAAAUAAAUUAAAACUUUCAACAACGGAUCUCUUGGCUCUGGCAUCGAUGAAGAACGCAGCGAAAUGCGAUAAGUAAUGUGAAUUGCAGAAUUCAGUGAAUCAUCGAAUCUUUGAACGCACAUUGCGCCCGCCAGUAUUCUGGCGGGCAUGCCUGUUCGAGCGUCAUUACAACCCUCAGGCCCCCGGGCCUGGCGUUGGGGAUCGGCGGAGCCCCCCGUGGGCACACGCCGUCCCCCAAAUACAGUGGCGGUCCCGCCGCAGCUUCCAUCGCGUAGUAGCUAACACCUCGCGACUGGAGAGCGGCGCGGCCACGCCGUAAAACACCCAACUCUUCUGAAGUUGACCUCGAAUCAGGUAGGAAUACCCGCUGAACUUAAGCAUAUCAAUAAGCGGAGGAAAAGAAACCAACAGGGAUUGCCCCAGUAACGGCGAGUGAAGCGGCAACAGCUCAAAUUUGAAAUCUGGCUCUCGGGCCCGAGUUGUAAUUUGUAGAGGAUGCUUUUGGUGAGGUGCCUUCCGAGUUCCCUGGAACGGGACGCCAUAGAGGGUGAGAGCCCCGUCUGGUUGGACGCCGAACCUCUGUAAAGCUCCUUCGACGAGUCGAGUAGUUUGGGAAUGCUGCUCUAAAUGGGAGGUAUAUGUCUUCUAAAGCUAAAUACCGGCCAGAGACCGAUAGCGCACAAGUAGAGUGAUCGAAAGAUGAAAAGAACUUUGAAAAGAGAGUUAAACAGUACGUGAAAUUGUUGAAAGGGAAGCGCUUGUGACCAGACUUGGGCUUGGUUGAUCAUCCGGGGUUCUCCCCGGUGCACUCUUCCGGCCCAGGCCAGCAUCAGUUCGCCCUGGGGGACAAAGGCAUCGGGAACGUGGCUCUCUCCGGGGAGUGUUAU
This 1026-nucleotide ribosomal RNA is filed under the name Fusarium cf. solani CBS 2012. RNAcentral describes it as "eukaryotic LSU rRNA". The stretch from base 480 to 1026 matches the Rfam family "Eukaryotic large subunit ribosomal RNA", at positions 1 to 559 of the family's 3401-position model. The record is from RNAcentral. Lineage: Eukaryota; Fungi; Ascomycota; Sordariomycetes; Hypocreales; Nectriaceae.